RNAcentral lists this microRNA precursor (80 nucleotides) under Medicago truncatula (barrel medic). RNAcentral's name for it is "MIR5269 microRNA precursor family". It matches the Rfam family "MIR5269 microRNA precursor family". The record is from Rfam by way of RNAcentral. Lineage: Eukaryota; Viridiplantae; Streptophyta; Magnoliopsida; Fabales; Fabaceae.
UUCGGUGAAACUCGUGUGGGUCUCACGCUUUAGAAAUGAAACCCACAUAAAGUGAUGAGACCCACAUGACUUUCACUCAA